GGACGAACGCUGGCUGCGUGCUUAACACAUGCAAGUCGAACGCUGAAGCCCCAGCUUGCUGGGGUGGAUGAGUGGCGAACGGGUGAGUAACACGUGAGUAACCUGCCCCUGACUUCGGGAUAAGCCCGGGAAACUGGGUCUAAUACCGGAUACGACUAUCGGACGCAUGUCUGGUGGUGGAAAGUUUUUUCGGUUGGGGAUGGGCUCGCGGCCUAUCAGUUUGUUGGUGAGGUAAUGGCUCACCAAGACGACGACGGGUAGCCGGCCUGAGAGGGCGACCGGCCACACUGGGACUGAGACACGGCCCAGACUCCUACGGGAGGCAGCAGUGGGGAAUAUUGCACAAUGGGGGAAACCCUGAUGCAGCGACGCAGCGUGCGGGAUGACGGCCUUCGGGUUGUAAACCGCUUUCAGCAGGGAAGAAGCCUUCGGGUGACGGUACCUGCAGAAGAAGUACCGGCUAACUACGUG
Molecule: ribosomal RNA, 471 nt
Filed under: uncultured bacterium
Lineage: Bacteria
Description: partial 16S ribosomal RNA
Rfam family: Bacterial small subunit ribosomal RNA
Source: RNAcentral